Small nuclear RNA from Vicia villosa (hairy vetch), 102 nucleotides. Lineage: Eukaryota; Viridiplantae; Streptophyta; Magnoliopsida; Fabales; Fabaceae. The record is from RefSeq and is a predicted model, not a curated record.
GUCCUUUUGCGGACAUAUGAUAAAAUUGGAAUGAUACAUAGAAUAUUAGCAUGACCCAUGCGCAAGGAUGACACGCUCAAAUAAAAAAUGGUCUAAAUUUUU